UGGUAGAAAACAAGCCGCUUGUAUUAAAGCUCGUCGGUAGGAAUGCAAGCUUUAAAUAUCAAAUAUACAGAAAAGAAAACGGCACCUCAGGCACGUUCUUACGGUUUUGUCUUUGUCAGGGUGGGAUACUGGUUUCCAUUAUUCAUACUAGCUGUCAUUGCUACACUCCAGGAUAAUGAAAAUGAAAGUAACUACCCUUACAAAACACUCAAAACCCAAAACAGGAAAGAGAUAACGCAAACACUGCAAAAGACUCCUUAGGUCGAAG
This 268-nucleotide unclassified non-coding RNA is filed under the name Hevea brasiliensis (rubber tree). Lineage: Eukaryota; Viridiplantae; Streptophyta; Magnoliopsida; Malpighiales; Euphorbiaceae. The record is from RNAcentral.